CCAAACAUGUUUUUUUUUUAUUUAUGAAAACACUAAAAACUGUUUUUCAGAACAGUUUUCAAAAAUAGCAACCAAACAAACACUUAUAUUCUCUACAUUUUGGUUGGUCAACUUAAAUCUCGGUCAUAUUUUAUCCUUGGAGAAUUCUACAGUGCCUUCGGAGGUAGCAUGCCUAGGUUUUUUUUUUAGCCGUUGGAAACAGAUUAAAUCUCAAGCAUCCAAAUGAAAAGGAAAAAAAAAAAAAAAAAAAAACCGACUACCUCCUCCUCCUGUUCUCUCUCCCUAUCUCCCAUUUUUCCUCCCUAAUUUGCUCUCUUCUCCUCCAUAGCCGGUCGUGUAGCUUAUCUCACCCUUAUCCCGUGCUCUCACCUCCACUCAUCCUCUAUAGCUGGCCAUGUAGUUGUUACCCAUCCUAUUCUUUCACCCAUUUCCCAUUUUCCCCCCACCUAAUUUGCUCUCUUCUCCAGUCAUCCUCCAUAGUCGGACCGGGUAGUUGUUCUCUCCCAUUUUUCCCAUUCCCCCCUCUCUAAUUUGGUAUCUUCUCCACUCAUCCUCCAUAGUCGGGUCGGGUAGUUGUUCUCUAUCCCUUUUGUUGAGUUUCCCCAUAUUUUCCUCUCUUCUCCAUACUCGGCUCUUCUUCGGGUACUUGUGUUUUCCGCUCAUCUCCAUCAUCUAUUAUUUUUGGGUGUUUUCAGUUGUCUUUGUGUAUUGUUGGAUGUUUUCAUGUUGUUGGUGUUUUCGGGUGAGAUAUUCUAACUGUUUCGACCGGCAUCUUUAUGAGUUUUCUCUUUUCUCCGUAUCCUUCUCUGUUUAUGUCCAUAUUUAAUUUUCACAUUUGGGGUUUUUUAAGGUUUUGAAGUAAAGAGUGCAAUAUUCCCGCUCCUCCUCUCCUCUCCAUAACCCUUGUAUUUUCUUCAUAUUUGAUAUUUUGUUUAAGAGGUGUUUUCAGGUUCUAAAUUUUUUGGUUUGAAGACCCGAAUUGAAGACGACAUGUAGUACUAAGAGAAAGAAAGUUGAAAAGAACGCAAUUUUUUUUGUUAAUCAAAAGGCGAUUAUGGCGUAAUUAUUUGCCGAGUUCUAUAUUAAGAAAAAAAAAAGAGUAUUUAUAAUGUGUUUUACAAUAUUAUAUCCCUUAUAUUUCAUGUUUUUUAUUAGAUUUAUGGAUUGAUCACAUUAAUGAAAAAUAUUGUGGUUAGAUCCAUAAUUGAACAUUGAAAAAAAUUUAUAUGCUAAUUUUGUCACCAUGUAAAAUGUAGAGAGAUUUAGGGAUGAUUUUGUAGUGGUAAUGAUAUUUGUAUUUUAUUUGGUAUUUGAUUGAUUGUAGUAAGAUAUGAAUAUAAAAUUUAUUGAAAUGUGAAAAAAAAACUUAUGUUGAGAUAAUGUGGUGGUGAAAGUAUGUUUGAUUUAUUAAAUCUGAAGUCAUAUUAUAAAAAAUGACUUAAAUGAUUUGAUUUAAUUUUUAGGAGCGAACACGAUGGUGUUGAAUUUGUUAGAAGUCCAAAGGGGCCUAUCAGAGCUUGGAUAUAUUACUAGUAAGGGAAAAUAGAAAUAUGUAAAAGAAUAUGUUUUUUUUUAUGUAUUUUUGUUGUUGUUGUAGUUAUAUAUAGUUAUAUUUGUUUGAAAUUGUUUUGUAGUAACAAUCAAUUGGCCAUGAUCAAAGAAAAUGAUAAAGGAGUGAAGAUAAAUGAUGAUGUAACGAGUAAUAUUGUUGUGGCUAAUAUAAUUGCAUUUUAAAAUUAGAAUUUAAAGUAAGUGACCAAUUUAUGUAGUUGAGGAAAAAAUUGGGCAAGAAGUAGAAUGCACUUUCAAAAGUAGAAAAAAAGAUUUCAUGGCAAAGUAAAAAAAAUGUUCAAAACAAUAUUCAUUUCAAAAGGGUGUGGGUCCAAAGGUAAUUUUUUUUGUAAUGAAUAUAAAAUUUCAUUAUGUAUUUGUUGCAAAUUAUAUUAAUGUAAACAUGUUUGAUGUUUGUAUAUCUUUUCAGUUAUAUCUUCAGACUCCAUACUCACCCGAGCCAGUGAUUAGAGUUAUUGAAGAAUUAUAACCAAAGCAAAAAACAGUUAUAGAAGAAAUAGGAUUUGGUAGCCUCUUGCAACUUCGAUGUAGGAAAAUUGAUCAUGGAUUAUGUCUUUGGUUGAUAAAUAGUUUCAAUCCGAACACUUAUAUGUUAGAGUUGUAUAAUACUUGUAUCAAAUUAUCCUCCAUUGAUGUUGAAUUUAUUAUGGGAUUGAGGGCAAGAGGGUUGAAUAUUGACAGGAACAAAGAUGUUAGUGAUAAGAAUGAUUUAUGUAAAAAAUAUUGUGAUAAAAAGGGGCGAUUGCUAUUGGUGAUGUUAGAAAAUCAAAUUAGGGAGGAUAAAGAAGGUGGAAACGAUUUCAAAGUUCGUUUUGUAUUAUUUGUGUUGGGUGCAUUAUUGUGCCCAACAAUGAAGCUUUAUGUGAAACGUUUUUUUUACAUCUUGUGGAGGACAUCGAUUCAAUAAAGAAGAUGAAAUUAGGCUAAAUUUGUGUUGUCUUAUUUUGUGCACGGGAUUGAAGAGUUUAAGAGGAAACAACAACGUGGGGUUUCCGAUUGCUUAUUAUUUUUAAUGGUAAUGUCCUUGUACAUAAUUUACAUCAUAGUGAAUUUCGAAUUUGUUAUAAUAAAAUUUGUGAACUAACUAUAUAUCUAUGUAAAAUAUAUUGCGGUUAUUCUACCACAAGCAUAUAUUAUUCGAAGAGAAAUUUAUACUGCUAUAUACUCGACCUUCUCCUCUGAUUAUUGCUUGGGGAGAUGAUGAAGUACUAGAUAUGAAACGAAGAUUGAAAAAACUUGGUGGAUAUGCAAAUGACAAUGUCAAAAUAUGAGUGAUACAAAAUGAGAUAAGGGAUUGCGUGAAUGGAAAUGCGAUGACAAUGAAGGGUGAGAAUGAGGAGGAUGAAAAAUUUGAAAUCAAUCCAAACAAAUAUGUUAUUAAACGAGUUGAUGGUGGGAGCUUAAUGGAGAUGGAUAAAACCUUUCAACAAUUAAAGCCACAUCUAAUUGAUUUGUCUCAUGGUGCAAGUAGUAGUAGUUGUGAAAAAGUUUUUACUGAAUUUGAGGAGAAAUAUACUACAUUGAAAGGUCUCUUUCUUAGGUCAAGUGAAAAACCUUUGAGAAUGCACGAGGAGGGAACGAAGAAUCACAUUCUCUCAUGUGAGAGAAGUUUGGAAGAUGAAGAUAAUAAGAAAGGAAAUGAACAUUAUGUUCAUACUUUGUCAAUUGACAAGUUAUGCAUUGAGGACUUGAAUAGAAAGAAUGAAGAUGCAUGUGCUACAUCAAUUGAAGUGCAUAUCAUUCCAGACAAAAAUGUAGAUAUUUUACCACUUCCAAUCAAAAGAACUAGAAGAGAUCAUGGAAAGAUAUGUAUCAUAUAAAAGAAAAAAUUAUUUUCUUUACAACUACUUAACCAUUACAUAGUAAAUAGAUGUAUAUUAAUAACAUUUUCCAUAUUUGGAACCAUUAUGAGCACUAUGUGGUUUUCCUUAGCAUGUCAUGAAAACACGUACAUCAAGGGAAAGGAAACCAAGUAAAUUUAAGGUCUCCCCAUUUGUAUACAAUUUAAAGAAGAUGAGAAAACGUCAAGUAUCAGAGGUAUGAUACAAAUAGUUUACUAUUAUGUUCUUAUUUUUGAUACUCAACAUAUAUAGCUAAUAAUUAUGUCUUGUUUUCAAUUUAGUCAAUCUCCAUGUCCAUUCGUGAAGACGUGGUGGAUGCUCAAUCAUUCAAUGUACUUCAAUAUCUUGUUGUUGAUUAUGAUUUCAAUAAAGCAUUGUCAAAAAGGUUUGUAGUGUCUAUAACAUUCAUAGAUGUGUUGUUACAAUUUUAGCCUUCAUAUUUUUCCAAUUCAGUCAAGAAUGUUUUAACAUAUUAUUAUUUUAGUGAGCUUCUUGUUGACUUUGAUCAUGAACAUGGAGUUUGUGGAGAUUUUGAGUGCUUAUGUCUUAGACAAAAUUUGUUGGAUGUUGUAAGUACCUACUUCAUUUAUAUCAAAUGCGUGCUUUAUUAAUUAAAUAAAUUUAUUGAAGUUAUUGUUUAACAACAGGUAAUCAAUCUAGAAGCAUCAAAACUAAAUUAUUUUGAGAGACAAAUCAUAGGCAUACGAAGUAUAAGAUACUAUAUUCCCAUGACAUUUUCAGUAAGCUCAGAUUUCUCUUGUUGUUUACUUGCAUAUUAAGUACAAUAUACUAAUGUUCGUAUUAUGUUGUAUUAUUAGCAAAUGAGUUUGUGCGAGAGUCCUCAUCAUUUUUUUGAUAGAAAAACAUCUAUCGUGAGUAAGUACAUUAAUGAAUUGGAUGAUUGUGAGAAGGCUAGUAAUUGUUUGUAAUGUUUAAUUGCAUAUAUCAUAUUUAGAGUAGAUAUUGUUUUCACCUACAAUAAAGUAGAUAUUUUGUGCCCCAACUCAUAGAUAUUGUUUUUCUAACUUUACAAAUAUUUAUUCCAAUGCAUGACAAUUGCCUUGGUCAUUGGUAUCUUUGCGUCAUUAACUUUAAAAACUCUCAUAUCCAGAUUUUGGAUUCAUUGCGAUCAAGGAGUCGGGAUGAAUUCCGGUUACAGUGGUUGAAUUUUGUCAAACGUUCUUCAAACUGUAUGACAUAGAGAAAGAUGUCUUCCAAUUCUCCAUUAAUUGGGCUCCUUCGAUUCUGACCCAAGAUAAUAGGUUUGUAUGAAUACAUAACUCACAUUAAUAUUGUUUAUCUGAGCUAUAAUUAUACAUUCAUUCAAUAAGUUGUUUUGCUUUUCUUAUAUUUUUCUUAGGUGGGACUGUGGAGUGCAUGUCAUUAAACAUAUGCAAACAUUUAAAAAUGGAGAUUCCAUGAAGGCCUCCAACUUAUGUAAUUAUGUUAAAAUACGUCAAGAAAUAGCAUGUGAUUUAAUUUUACACGAGGGAAACAGAGAAAAACAAACCAUGUUGACUACUGUUUGUACAAAGACAUCCACACAAGCAAUGAAAAAAAUUAUUAUUAUGAUA
Vitis vinifera (wine grape) is the source of this 4987-nucleotide long non-coding RNA. RefSeq lists it as uncharacterized. NCBI's taxonomy places the organism in Eukaryota, Viridiplantae, Streptophyta, Magnoliopsida, Vitales, Vitaceae. The record is from RefSeq and is a predicted model, not a curated record. The transcript is spliced from 4 exons.